RNAcentral lists this microRNA precursor (59 nucleotides) under Ciona intestinalis (vase tunicate). Its description in RNAcentral is "Cin-Mir-10-P2_pre stem-loop". Lineage: Eukaryota; Metazoa; Chordata; Ascidiacea; Phlebobranchia; Cionidae. The record is from RNAcentral.
ACCCACGUAUUCGAUCUUGCGAGAGAUAAAGGACAUCUCAAGCUCGGGUUUAUGGGUGU